GUUUUGUACCGACUGAAGGAGAAGGUUCAGGUUUCAGACAGACAGCUAAAGGCCCCGCCCCCUGGCCGCCACCUGACCCCGACCGUCCAAUCACACUCCGCCCAAUGGUCAAAGGGCGCCAAGUUUGUGAGGUCAGGAAGCAUGGUCCAAGCUGAGCUCCCUCCAACUGUAGCCACGCCCAUUCGCCAGCAACAGCCAAUCGUAGCCGGCCGUUGCCUCGCUCCUCCUGUCGUCCCUCUGCCCAGCUCCGCCCCUGCCCCUGUCGUCAGCAGCAACGACCACGCCCUCUUGGCCAGCGUUGCCCCGGUGACAGCCAAUAACGAGCUAAAGCCCUGCCCCUCCC
Molecule: long non-coding RNA, 343 nt
Filed under: Sander lucioperca (pikeperch)
Lineage: Eukaryota; Metazoa; Chordata; Actinopteri; Perciformes; Percidae
Description: lncRNA (ENSSLUG00000016975.1)
Source: RNAcentral